UACGUAGGGUGCAAGCGUUGCCCGGAUUUAUUGGGCGUAAAGAGCUCGUAGGCGGUUUGUUGCGUCGGCCGUGAAAACCUGCAGCUUAACUGUGGGCUUGCGGUCGAUACGGGCAGACUUGAGUUCGGUAGGGGAGACUGGAAUUCCUGGUGUAGCGGUGAAAUGCGCAGAUAUCAGGAGGAACACCGGUGGCGAAGGCGGGUCUCUGGGCCGAUACUGACGCUGAGGAGCGAAAGCGUGGGGAGUGAACAGG
Molecule: ribosomal RNA, 253 nt
Filed under: uncultured bacterium
Lineage: Bacteria
Description: partial 16S ribosomal RNA
Rfam family: Bacterial small subunit ribosomal RNA
Source: RNAcentral